Molecule: ribosomal RNA, 628 nt
Filed under: Pseudomonas sp. Horo_25
Lineage: Bacteria; Pseudomonadati; Pseudomonadota; Gammaproteobacteria; Pseudomonadales; Pseudomonadaceae
Description: bacterial SSU rRNA
Rfam family: Bacterial small subunit ribosomal RNA
Source: RNAcentral
UGCAGUCGAGCGGAUGAAGGGAGCUUGCUCCUGGAUUCAGCGGCGGACGGGUGAGUAAUGCCUAGGAAUCUGCCUGGUAGUGGGGGAUAACGUCCGGAAACGGGCGCUAAUACCGCAUACGUCCUGAGGGAGAAAGUGGGGGAUCUUCGGACCUCACGCUAUCAGAUGAGCCUAGGUCGGAUUAGCUAGUUGGUGGGGUAAAGGCCUACCAAGGCGACGAUCCGUAACUGGUCUGAGAGGAUGAUCAGUCACACUGGAACUGAGACACGGUCCAGACUCCUACGGGAGGCAGCAGUGGGGAAUAUUGGACAAUGGGCGAAAGCCUGAUCCAGCCAUGCCGCGUGUGUGAAGAAGGUCUUCGGAUUGUAAAGCACUUUAAGUUGGGAGGAAGGGCAGUAAGUUAAUACCUUGCUGUUUUGACGUUACCAACAGAAUAAGCACCGGCUAACUUCGUGCCAGCAGCCGCGGUAAUACGAAGGGUGCAAGCGUUAAUCGGAUAUACUGGGCGUAAAGCGCGCGUAGGUGGUUCAGCAAGUUGGAUGUGAAAUCCCCGGGCUCAACCUGGGAACUGCAUCCAAAACUACUGAGCUAGAGUACGGUAGAGGGUGGUGGAAUUUCCUGUGUAGCG